ACAAAAAUAAUUGCUUAAAGUGAUGUUUCUGUGCAGGAUCAACAUUUUAGCAUUUAACAUUUCAUUAGCAGGUUUGUUGGUGUAGCUGUAACUGUGACUGUUCUGCCUGCAGGGGGCGCUGUGCAGGUGUUCAGUCAGCCGGGUCAGCAGGUCACUCUGCCAUGCUCCUAUCACUAUGAGGACCACACUCGCCUGUCUCAGCUGUCCGUGCAGUGGAGGAGUCCCAACAACGCGCUGCUGUGUCACUUCGUCAAACACAAGUCGUUCACAAACUGCAGCGCCGGAUACUCCAUCAGCUACAGCCCCGCCUCCAUCACGCUCUCCAUCCUGCACGCCAACGUGGACGACUUCGGGACGCACGUCUGCUCCGUGAGCAUACCACACGAGUUCUCCGACUACAAGGUGGAGCUGAGCCGGACCCCAGAGUCGGUGACUUCAGCUCCAAACAGAGGACGGAAACACACAGGUUUCAGCUGGACUCUGCUGCUCCUCGUCUCUUUGACUUUGUUAGCGUUUAGAAAUCAUAUUUAAUGAUGAAUGACGGAGCUGAAAACAAACAAACAAGAAAACAAACACUCUUCUGAAUGUAAGCCUGUGGAUCCAAACAGAAGUUUCCCCCUGAUGUCCAGAGCUCCAAUAAAACCUGACACAGUGUGUGUGUGUGUGUGUGUGUGUGUGUGUAUGUGUGUGUGUGU
Molecule: non-coding RNA, 695 nt
Organism: Labrus bergylta (ballan wrasse)
Lineage: Eukaryota; Metazoa; Chordata; Actinopteri; Labriformes; Labridae
Source: RefSeq, a predicted model, not a curated record